RNAcentral lists this ribosomal RNA (379 nucleotides) under Ischnura asiatica. RNAcentral's name for it is "partial large subunit ribosomal RNA". The stretch from base 1 to 184 matches the Rfam family "Archaeal large subunit ribosomal RNA", at positions 1921 to 2143 of the family's 2987-position model. The record is from RNAcentral. Lineage: Eukaryota; Metazoa; Arthropoda; Insecta; Odonata; Coenagrionidae.
GUCCUAUUGUAUUCUUUAAUAGGUCUGGCCUGCCCAGUGAUAAUUUUAACGGCCGCGGUAUAUUGACCGUGCAAAGGUAGCAUAAUCAUUAGUCUUUUAAUAGAAGGCUGGAAUGAAAGGUUUAACGAGAAAUUAACUGUCUCAAUUACAUACUUGAAUUUAUCUUUUGAGUCAAAAGACUUAAAUAUAAUUGGUGGACGAGAAGACCCUAUAGAGCUUUACAAUUUUAUUUCUAUAUUUAUAUAGUAAUAUUAUUUAUUUAUAUUUAUAAAAUUGUUUUGUUGGGGUGACAAUAAAUAUAUAUUUAACUUUUAUCAUAAUAUAAACAUUAAUUUAUGAUUUUUGGAUCCAAAAAUUUUGAUCAAUAGAUUAAGUUACC